RNAcentral lists this ribosomal RNA (497 nucleotides) under uncultured bacterium. Its description in RNAcentral is "partial 16S ribosomal RNA". It matches the Rfam family "Bacterial small subunit ribosomal RNA", at positions 28 to 507 of the family's 1533-position model. The record is from RNAcentral.
GAUGAACGCUGGCGGCGUGCCUAAUACAUGCAAGUCGAACGCAUAGCGAAAGAUCCUUGCACCUUUCAAGUGGGUGGCGAACGGGUGAGUAACACGUGGACAACCUGCCUCAAGGCUGGGGUUACCAUUUGGAACCAGAUGCAAAUACCGAUUAUAACUUAGUGUCGCUUGACCCAAAGUUAAAAGGCGCUUUGGCGUCACCUAGAGAUGGAUCCGCGGUGCAUUAGUUAGUUGGUGGGGUAAAGGCCUACCAAGACAAUGAUGCAUAGCCGAGCUGAGAGACUGAUCGGCCACAUUGGGACUGAGACACGGCCCAAACUCCUACGGGAGGCAGCAGUAGGGAAUCUUCCACAAUGGGCGAAAGCCUGAUGGAGCAACGCCGCGUGUGUGAUGAAGGCUUUCGGAUCGUAAAGCACUGUUAUAAGGGAAGAACAGAUGUAAUAGGAAAUGAUUUUAGUUUGACGGUACCAAACCAGAAAGGGACGGCUAAAUACGUG